GAUGAACGCUGGCGGCGUGCCUCAAACAUGCAAGUCGAGCGGGGCUAUGUAAUAUCGCAAGGUAGAACAUAGCCUAGCGGCGAACGGGUGAGUAACACGUGGGUAACCUGCCUGGAAGACAGGGAUAACGAUUCGAAAGGGUCGCUAAUACCUGAUAAUAUCCUUUCAUCGCAUGGUGAUAGGAAGAAAGGGGAAACCCGCUUUCAGAUGGGCCCGCGUCCCAUCAGCUAGUUGGUAAGGUAAAGGCUUACCAAGGCGACGACGGGUAGCCGGUCUGAGAGGAUGUACGGCCACACUGGGACUGAGAUACGGCCCAGACUCCUACGGGAGGCAGCAGUUGGGAAUCUUAGGCAAUGGACGAAAGUCUGACCUAGCGACGCCGCGUGAGGGAAGAAGGGCCUUCGGUUGUAAACCUCUGUCAUGGGGAGAAGUAAGUGACGGUACCCCAAGAGGAAGCCCUGCUAACUACGUG
This 472-nucleotide ribosomal RNA is filed under the name uncultured bacterium. RNAcentral describes it as "bacterial SSU rRNA". It matches the Rfam family "Bacterial small subunit ribosomal RNA", at positions 28 to 507 of the family's 1533-position model. The record is from RNAcentral.